RNAcentral lists this non-coding RNA (266 nucleotides) under Anoxybacillus sp. Its description in RNAcentral is "T-box sequence". It matches the Rfam family "T-box leader". Rfam says of the family: Uncharged tRNA acts as the effector for transcription antitermination of genes in the T-box leader family. Lineage: Bacteria; Bacillati; Bacillota; Bacilli; Caryophanales; Anoxybacillaceae. The record is from RNAcentral.
AUGAAAGCGUUGAAGAGGAUAAGUAGUCAACGGAAAAAAGCAUCUACAGAGAGCCGGGGGAGCUGAAAACCGGUGAUGCUGCCGCUUGAUGAACUCACCUCUGAGCGCCAGCUUGAACGCUUUGGCUAGUAGAGUUGGACGGGUGGAAUCAAAAGCGCUCCACUCGUUAUUAAAAAGAGCGUCUGAACAUUUCAGAUGCUCAUGAGGUGGUCAGUUGGCCAUGAAAAAGGGUGGUACCGCGGAAAGAAAGCCUUUUCGCCCCUUUG